UCAUCGGCCUCAGAUUGGUAGGACUACCCGCUGAACUUAAGCAUAUCA
This 48-nucleotide ribosomal RNA is filed under the name Moesziomyces antarcticus. RNAcentral describes it as "partial 28S ribosomal RNA". The record is from RNAcentral. Lineage: Eukaryota; Fungi; Basidiomycota; Ustilaginomycetes; Ustilaginales; Ustilaginaceae. RNAcentral also lists the same sequence under 1 other name.